GUUUACUCCCACCCCUCAUCCCGGGCUCCAAUGAUCCUUAGCCCGCGCAUUUCGAAAGGAUUUAAAGCUCGCUCAGCUCGUAGGAGGACACGGGGAGAAGACGCCGCUCCCAGAUCGGGAAAAGAAGUGAUUAUUUGCUGAAGAACCCCACGGAAAGAGGGCUGGCUUCUUAAACCUUUGUCAUAAAAGAUUUAAAAAAAAAUUCUUCAGGGUAAGUAAUUAGCUUUUAAAAGAACGGAUUGAAACAAAAUUAAAGGCAGCUACAAGAUCCACCUGAACCACGCCCUGUCUCCGGUCAACUGGCCAAAAAAGAAAAAAAUAUUCGGGAGGGGGGCAAAGAACCCCUCUCCUCCCAGGCCCGAGGAUCCUGGGGGUGACUGGUAAACGGGUAAAGACCUUUUUAUAGAUGCCAUCCAAUUGCCAUAGGGAAGGACUAGUAAUGAUUCUGGGAUGUUUGGGCAAACCGGGUAGUAAGUGGGGGCAUUCAUAUGUACGUCUAUGUACAUUUACCCAUAUAUUAAUGUACGUAUGUGAAUACAAACGUGUGCGUACACGUAAGAAUUAGAAAGUGCAAUAAUAAAGUCGACGGAGGUUCGAAGUC
Monodelphis domestica (gray short-tailed opossum) is the source of this 601-nucleotide long non-coding RNA. RefSeq lists it as uncharacterized. The record is from RefSeq and is a predicted model, not a curated record. NCBI's taxonomy places the organism in Eukaryota, Metazoa, Chordata, Mammalia, Didelphimorphia, Didelphidae.